AGGGUUUGAUUAUGGCUCAGGAUGAACGCUGGCGGCGUGCUUAACACAUGCAAGUCGAACGGGAUCGGCUGGAGCUUGCUCCGGCCGUGAGAGUGGCGAACGGGUGAGUAAUGCGUGACCGACCUGCCCCAUACACCGGAAUAGCUCCUGGAAACGGGUGGUAAUGCCGGAUGCUCCAGUUGGAUGCAUGUCCUUCUGGGAAAGAUUCUAUCGGUAUGGGAUGGGGUCGCGUCCUAUCAGGUAGUCGGCGGGGUAACGGCCCACCGAGCCUACGACGGGUAGCCGGCCUGAGAGGGCGACCGGCCACAUUGGGACUGAGAUACGGCCCAG
This 330-nucleotide ribosomal RNA is filed under the name uncultured bacterium. RNAcentral describes it as "bacterial SSU rRNA". It matches the Rfam family "Bacterial small subunit ribosomal RNA", at positions 8 to 334 of the family's 1533-position model. The record is from RNAcentral.